Molecule: ribosomal RNA, 254 nt
Filed under: uncultured bacterium
Lineage: Bacteria
Description: partial 16S ribosomal RNA
Rfam family: Bacterial small subunit ribosomal RNA
Source: RNAcentral
UACGGGGGGGGCGAGCGUUGUCCGAAGUUACUGGGCGUAAAGCGCGUGUAGGCGGGUUGUUAAGUCCGCUGUGAAAGCCCGGUGCUCAACGCCGGAGGGUCGGUGGAUACUGGCAGUCUUGAAGUGGCUAGGGGGAAAUGGAAUUACCGGUGUAGCGGUGAAAUGCGUAGAUAUCGGUAGGAACACCAGUGGCGAAGGCGGUUUCCUGGAGCCCACUUGACGCUGAGACGCGAAAGCUGGGGGAGCAAACGGGG